UGUCUGUGGAGAGAAGCAAAGAGGCUCUUGGGUGGGGCUGGACCUAAUCUCAUCGCAGAAACAACCAAUCCUGGCCAUUUGAUGAACUUUUUGCUAGACUAGAAAUCUGGUGAUAUCACAAGAAUUCAGAAGAACCACAAUAUUGUUUUCAUUAUUAACAACACAUUUCUAUUCAAUGUGAAUGCUCCCCCAAAGGUCAAUUGGCCCUCCUUGUCCUCACUGUCUUGUUCCUGUACUCUCAUGUAUCUUUUACAAAGGCCCAUCUGUCAUACCAGUGAGGGGCACCAUACCUUCUUUUAUAUCUCUUAACAUUAUUACCUGGAUACCACCAGAACAUGAGCUGGAGGUUAUUUUAUGACUGGCCCACCUUCUUGGUCAAAACAUACCUUUCUCAGGUGACAUUCAUGCAAUUCAUCUGACAAAAAUCACCACAAGAUUCCUUAAAAUAGGAAACUUCCGGUAAACCAACACUUCUCAUUGUUCUAUUGAUAGUGACAAAUUAGUGAUUCUAAAUAUCAGGUAGCUUCUGGUCAUUUGAAAACAUCCAAUUGAACAGGAGUUUUUCUAUAGAAGCAGUCUCUUACCUCUCAAGCAUACAAUGCUCUUGCCACUUCCUCCUGUAAAUCUUGAAAUUUCUCAGACUUGUGAAUGUUAAAAAUUUCCCCAUCAGGGAAUUCUCAAUUGGAACAAUUCCCUACUGGGAACAUUCCCCAUUUUGACUGUGAGAACUCGCCAGGAUCAGAAAUGGGAGGACCUCUACUCCACCUGUACUUAAGACUGCUUUAGGGGAGAAAACUCCUUGCUAAACAAUGAAAGUACUUGGACCCAUGCGUAUGAUGAGGCAGGGAGUUCUUUGAGCCAUGCCUGUUUUUAGAAUUGAUACCAUGGGAUGUUAGGUACCUAUAAAGGUCAGGCAACUUGUAAACUUGCCAGGAGCAAAGCGGUGAAAAUUUACUUAGAGGUUUUCUCUUGAGGGGAUUAGUUGCCUCAGCUGUGUUUUUUCUGAUUCAAACUUACUAAAGGGAAUAAGUCGACCCAGCAGUGUUUUUAGAAUGGGCUGUCCUUUGGAAAACGUCUACAGUGAUUGGUAGAUGUAAGGACUUAGGGGAGGUGACAUAGGAGAAAAACCCCUAUAUAAGAAAAAGCAGAAUCUCUUGAGAGGGGAAUCCUUUUGGAGAAAUCUCUGAUGAGGAUCACUUGGGAAGAAUCUCUUGAGAGAGGCUCUGUAGAAGGGAAGCUCUUGGAGGACAAUCUCUAAGGAGUUCUCACUGGAGCUCCUCUGGAGGGAACUCUGUCCCUCUGGAGGCUCUUGAGAGAGGCCCUUUGAAACAGUCUCUGGCUGGAAGGCUCUUUGAGGAGGACUCUGGCUGGAACUCUCUCUGAGGAGACUCUGUCACUAGAAUCCUUGCUUAGACAGACCUUGUGAAACGAACAAAGCUAUGCUCACAACCCUCCAAGAUCAGACAUCAGUUCAUGAGAACCAGAAGGGAAAAUGAGAGAGCCUGUUGAUUUUGAAUGAAGUCUGGAUCCCAAGAAUGGAGGGAAAGGAGACACCACAAGAAUGGCAACUAGAUGAAUCCUGAGCAGAGAUGAAGAAAUGAAGAGAUGAUGAAGAGAGCUGGCUCCAUCUGCUGGGAUGGCAGCAGCACUGAACAACUUAACUAAGGGCAGCUCUUGGUGCAGGAUCCUAGUUAACUGAAAGCCAUGGAUAAAUGCAAACUUUUUCAAGGUCAAUAUUCUGGACCUUCUUGACCCAAUCAAUAUUCCCAUCCAGUUUAUUACUAAAGCCACUUAUAAAGUGCAAAAUUGAUUAUUUCCAACUCUCCCCUUCCCCUUUAGGCUCUGGAAAAAGAACUACGUAAGGAGUAAGAGAAUAAAGUCUAUGUUGUCCCUACAUGAUACAGCUUCUCUACUAAUCACCAAAGACUGGUUCUCGAAUAGCUAGUUCUUCCUGUACAGCUUUGAACUAGAGUGAAUUAAGUUAUCCACCCCAUAAUCGUGUCUUCUUUCCCUUCCCUGUCCCUCAUCCCAGAUCACCAGAGGGGGGCCAGUACUCACCUGAAGGCUACAGUGUAGUAGGAGUCACUGAUGGCGGUGAGGCAGGCCACUGCACCCUGGGGCCCAAAGCGCGUCUUCACAAAGGGCCUUGGGUGGAACAUGCUCAACAGUCUGUGGAUGAUGACCUGUGGGAGAUGAAUACCGGCCCUCUGAGAGGCUGGGCAGAGUUCCUUGAUGGGGCUCACAGAGGACUGCCUCAAUGCUGGGUUUG
Long non-coding RNA from Monodelphis domestica (gray short-tailed opossum), 2269 nucleotides. RefSeq lists it as uncharacterized. The record is from RefSeq and is a predicted model, not a curated record. NCBI's taxonomy places the organism in Eukaryota, Metazoa, Chordata, Mammalia, Didelphimorphia, Didelphidae.